UUAAUUGAAACCAAAAAGAGGUAUAUCACUGUUAAUGAUAUCAAUGAAUUUUAUAAUUCCAAUUAAG
This 67-nucleotide transfer RNA is filed under the name Toxorhynchites sp. CL-2019. RNAcentral's name for it is "tRNA-Asn". The record is from RNAcentral. Lineage: Eukaryota; Metazoa; Arthropoda; Insecta; Diptera; Culicidae.